This 787-nucleotide ribosomal RNA is filed under the name uncultured bacterium. RNAcentral's name for it is "bacterial SSU rRNA". It matches the Rfam family "Bacterial small subunit ribosomal RNA", at positions 8 to 796 of the family's 1533-position model. The record is from RNAcentral.
AGAGUUUGAUCAUGGCUCAGGAUGAACGCUAGCGGCAGGCUUAACACAUGCAAGUCGAGGGGUAUAGGUUUUCGGACCUAGAGACCGGCGCACGGGUGCGUAACGCGUAUGCAAUCUACCUUUUACAGAGGGAUAGCCCAGAGAAAUUUGGAUUAAUACCUCAUAGUAUUAUUGAAUGGCAUCAUUUAAUAAUUAAAGUUCCAACGGUAAAAGAUGAGCAUGCGUCCCAUUAGCUAGAUGGUAAGGUAACGGCUUACCAUGGCAACGAUGGGUAGGGGUCCUGAGAGGGAGAUCCCCCACACUGGUACUGAGACACGGACCAGACUCCUACGGGAGGCAGCAGUGAGGAAUAUUGGUCAAUGGGCGCAAGCCUGAACCAGCCAUGCCGCGUGCAGGAUGACGGUCCUAUGGAUUGUAAACUGCUUUUGUACAGGAAGAAACAGUUCUACGUGUAGAACCUUGACGGUACUGUAAGAAUAAGGAUCGGCUAACUCCGUGCCAGCAGCCGCGGUAAUACGGAGGAUCCAAGCGUUAUCCGGAAUCAUUGGGUUUAAAGGGUCCGUAGGCGGUUUUGUAAGUCAGUGGUGAAAGCCCAUCGCUCAACGGUGGAACGGCCAUUGAUACUGCAAGACUUGAAUUACUAGGAAGUAACUAGAAUAUGUAGUGUAGCGGUGAAAUGCUUAGAUAUUACAUGGAAUACCAAUUGCGAAGGCAGGUUACUACUAGUGGAUUGACGCUGAUGGACGAAAGCGUGGGGAGCGAACAGGAUUAGAUACCCUAGUAGUCC